UUCAAAAAGGAGAUUCUUAUUGAGUACAGAGGGGAAGUCAUAAGUAGAAAGGAACAAGAAAACCGAUUGAAAAUUUACCAUGAUGCACUCGAGGCUUUUAUGUUUGAUUUCAAGUUCAAUGGACAACAGCUUUGUGUUGAUGCUGCCAGAGAGGAUGGAUCAUUGGGGAGGCUGGUAAAUGAUGAAGAGAUGAACCCAAACAGCAAAUUGAAAGUUACAAGGGUGGAUGGAAGACCUCAUCUUUGUUUAUUUGCACUCAAAGAUAUUGGUCCUGGGGAAGAAAUCACUUAUGUUUAUGGUGAUUCUGACUGGCCAUGGAGAAGAAAGAUUUCCAAAGAUGAACUGUGUCAGGCUGUUGACGUGGACGCAUGCGGAUCCUGUUCAACUAACCCUCCAGAGAUUUCCAAAGAUGAAAGGUGUCAGGCUGGUGACGUGGAUGCAUGCGGAUCCUGUUCAACCAACCCUCCAGAGG
Molecule: long non-coding RNA, 472 nt
Organism: Xiphophorus maculatus (southern platyfish)
Lineage: Eukaryota; Metazoa; Chordata; Actinopteri; Cyprinodontiformes; Poeciliidae
Exons: 4
Source: RefSeq, a predicted model, not a curated record